Molecule: ribosomal RNA, 456 nt
Filed under: uncultured Azospira sp.
Lineage: Bacteria; Pseudomonadati; Pseudomonadota; Betaproteobacteria; Rhodocyclales; Rhodocyclaceae
Description: bacterial SSU rRNA
Rfam family: Bacterial small subunit ribosomal RNA
Source: RNAcentral
CACAAGCGGUGAAUGAUGUGGAUUAAUUCGAUGCAACGCGAAAACCUUACUACCCUUGACAUGUCCGGAAUCCCGAAGAGAUUUGGGAGUGCUCGCAAGAGAACCGGAACACAGGUGCUGCAUGGCUGUCGUCAGCUCGUGUCGUGAGAUGUUGGGUUAAGUCCCGCAACGAGCGCAACCCUUGUCAUUAGUUGCCAUCAUUUGGUUGGGCACUCUAAUGAGACUGCCGGUGACAAACCGGAGGAAGGUGGGAUGACGUCAAGUCCUCAUGGCCCUUAUAUCCUGGGCUACACACACGCUACAAUGGCAGAUACAAUAGGUCGCGAAACCGCGAGGUGGAGCCAAUCCUCAAAGUCUGUCUCAGUUCAGAUUGUAGGCUGCAACUCGCCUGCAUGAAGUCGGAGUUGCUAGUAAACGCAGGUCAGCUAUACUGCGUUGAAUACGUUCCCGGGGUUU